GUGGGGAAUAUUGGACAAUGGGCGAAAGCCUGAUCCAGCCAUGCCGCGUGAGUGAUGAAGGCCUUAGGGUUGUAAAGCUCUUUCAGUAGGGAAGAUAAUGACGGUACCUACAGAAGAAGCCCCGGCUAACUUCGUGCCAGCAGCCGCGGUAAUACGAAGGGGGCUAGCGUUGUUCGGAUUUACUGGGCGUAAAGCGCACGUAGGCGGAUUGGUCAGUUAGAGGUGAAAUCCUGGAGAUCAACUCCAGAACUGCCUUUAAUACUGCCAGUCUAGAGUCCAGAAGAGGUGAGUGGAACUCCUAGUGUAGAGGUGGAAUUCGUAGAUAUUAGGAAGAACACCAGUGGCGAAGGCGGCUCACUGGUCUGGUACUGACGCUGAGGUGCGAAAGCGUGGGGAGCAAACAGGAUUAGAAACCCGUGUAGUCC
This 425-nucleotide ribosomal RNA is filed under the name uncultured bacterium. RNAcentral's name for it is "partial 16S ribosomal RNA". It matches the Rfam family "Bacterial small subunit ribosomal RNA", at positions 354 to 796 of the family's 1533-position model. The record is from RNAcentral.